UACCAAUUGUGGUGUUGCCACUCAGCCCGUGCCACGACACAGUCCAUCCUCCACACUGGUUGCCAAUGUCAUUGGCAUGGCUGCCUGCGACCAGUAUUCUCGAUGCAUGCUUGGGAAGGGGUAGCAAUGGUUCAUCUUCGAAUCUAACAUUUUUUAGCAGAACAAGAGAUCUUCUCACUGCUUCCCUAGCCAGUUCCCUAUGCUCCUGUCCAAGUCAACAGUUCAAAUGCAUAAAACUUGAUGAUCUUCUCUAAUAAUCCUACAGAAUUGACAGCAGUCUGGGACCUGAGUAUAUUCUCAAAUCUCAACUUACCUGACUUCCAAGGUACUUAAUCAUGCUAUAAUCAGGAAAUGGGUACUCAAAUAGACCCAUCAUGAACUUCACCCUUAGAAUCCUCCGCACAGCAUCAUCAAUUCGGCUCAUAGAAAUGAAAGAGUUGUUCACCAAAUAGGUAAGACCAUCAAUGAAUUCUGUAUAGUUGUAGGGAAUCAUGAUCUGCAAUUCACCAUCAAUCAAAUAAGUAUGGUAAAAUGGACUAACAUGACUUAGCUUCUGACCAUAAUUUACUUUUGGAGCACAAUAUGAACUAACCAUGUCAAUGCCUGCAUUUACACCAACUAAAAUCGAAUAUGUGGAGUUUACAUGCUCUGGUGAAGUCAUCUUGUAAAUACCCUGAGAAUCUGAUAUGACAAACCCCUAAUAUAAUUCACAAACAUUUGAAAAUCAUAUUAUUUACUGCACUAGAUAGGUCUCAGACAUGGUAUUUAUCAAUUCAUGGAAAUCAACGGAGAGAUUAGCUUUACCUCAAAAUGUAGGGUAUUUUUGAGAAAGCCAGUAAUAAGAUCACGAUUAGCAUGCAUCUUUACACCAUUCCAGCUAGAGUAUGAGAUCAUGACAGUUGAUACGCCCUUAAUUAUUGAAUCAUUGUAGGCAGGCAUAUGGAUACGUAGCAGGUCAUCCCAGUUGGCCACUGUAUCGUACUCAUUGAUGCCUCGGAUGGUUCCACCAUCGCCAACAUAGUGCUUUGCACAUGCUAAAACAUUAUUUCUGCGCAUAAUCCAUCCAAAAGGAAGAAAUAUAAAGCAGUGUCUUUUCUAUGUUGAGCAUAUUGUUUAAGCUACAACUUAAACUUCAGCAAAGAAAUUUAGAAUAACUCCCCCAGCUAAAUCCCCAGACUCCAAAAGCAAUUCCCUUUCAGAAAAGAAACAUAAAAAAGAAGAACCACCACAAGGAAAUUUGAAAUUUGCUUAUCAGACCAAUGUGAUACAGAAAAAAACAUGCUUUAGCAUCAAUAAGUGCCUCUUAAAGCUUUGACUCUUCUAUGAAAGAAUUUUGGGCAAAGUUCUGUUUAUUGCACCACAUAUGAGCCAAAGUAAAAAUGAUUGAAGAAGUUUUGUUGCUCAUAUCAUCAUCAAAUAGUCAACCUUGUCGAUUUUUGUCUUAUGUUGUCAAACAGAACAAGGUAACGUCAUUCAUAUACGACUGCAAUCACAAUUCUUCUUAUUUUUGCUUUAAGUCUGCUUUGUUCUUUAUCCUUCUGUAAUAGUUUUAAAAUCCAAAUAGAGAAAAGUUCUAAAUAUUAGCAGAAUUUCAAAUAGAUUUGCAGUGAAAUGAAGAAAGUCAUAGACCUACAAAAACUAAGAAAACACAUCUAUUAAUUCCACCAAAUAACUGCCAGAAUGAGAGUACAAGACAUAAAAACUAGUACAAAACAUGAGAAUGGCUCUUCAUAUUCUAUAAUAGAAAAUGGGCAGGCCUCGAUAGCUGAAAAGCAAGUUAUUGACAUUGUUUGUUGCAAGACAUGAAAGGUACAAGUUGUUGAACCAUACAAUUACAGGAUGCAACCCUUUCAGUACCAUGGAAUGUGCAGUCUAACUAAAAGCCAGAAGGAAAAAUUGUUCAAGUCAAAGAUCCAUGCACACCAUUAAUUAAAGGUUAUCAUUUUGAAAAAACCUACUAUAUUAGACACUAAAUUCUAAAAGUUGGGAUGAAUUAGCAACUUAGGACUUUGUUCAGUAUUUUGUACACACCAGGAUUGAGAAGAAAUAAUUAGUUUGUAUGGAGCUUACUGUCCAGAAAUGUAGGGGACACCCUUAGGAGAAUCAGGAGGAACAUCUCCUUGUAAUCCUAGAAUAAUAUCAGUCAUUGCUUGAACAACUUGGGGAUCUUCACUAUAGCUUUCAAAACAGCGACCCCAUCUGGGAUCUCGACAGACCUGACAAGCAAUAAACUUUGAGUAAAAUGAACAGACUUACAAGAUUUUAAAGGUAAUUUCAGAGAGAAGAUCAUUUGAAUAAUUUUAUUACAGCAACGCAAGGUGCAAAAGAGUACUGUAUGCCUGCAGCUCUAACUUCAAGAGCAGUUGCAGCUCCUAUCUUCUUGACUAGUAAAGGAUCCCUGAUACAAUUAUUGCAGAGUUUAGCAUUAUACCAGCUGAUAAUGCUUAAUCUUCUAGCAAAGUGUCCUAAUCCAUAAUAUGGGAAAAUAGUGAUAGUAUGACAACACGUUUCCGAGAGAAGAAAAUCUUUUUGCUCUUAGCAACAGGACCAGAAAUAUUAUAAGACCAAGUUGUAGACUAGAUCUUCAAUUUGAACAGCUAUCUUUUCCAGGGUUCUGGAAGGCCAAAAUGUAAACUGGUUUUGCAUAAAAUGUCUCGCAAAAAACUUUUUCUUUAUUGCUUGCAAAAGUAGUUUCGAAUUUUCUCAUUCCACUGUUAUGUUGGUUCUGUUCUUUGUUUUAACAUCUCAUUGCAGCAAGUUUGGAAAAUUAACAUAGGACUUGACUAGAGUAAGGUAUAAAUAAUAGAUUCACUUUGAAUUUCAGAAAGCAACUUGCCUAGCUGCUCCAAGACCAAUAUUAUGAGGAAAAACUGUGGCUCCAUAUACAUCAUUGUUGCCAUGAAUUGCAUCGAUCCCAUAUAUGAUAGGUAUGCCAAGACGUGUUGAUAAAGCACCCUUCUGGAAUUCGUUCACCAUGUCCAUCCAGGUCUCAGGAGUAGCCCUGUUAGGUAAAAGACUUUCCCCACCAUUGAACACACUGCCUGCUCAAGAAAAUCAAAAUCUAUAUGAUUUGUUUAUAACUAAUCAAAUACUUGAGCAGACCUCACAGUUUCACAAAUCAUCAUUAAGUGAUACUCUAUCAAAGAGUAGGUAUACCAAGAGUGUGUGAUGUUUAUACCAAUAUAGUAGUUUCUCACGACUUCAGCUGAUGCAACAACGCGAUCAAUUUGGGACAUUUGACCAAUCUUUUCCGCUAGGGUCAUCCUGCUCAUUAAAUCCUUAACUCUCACGUCUACUGGCUGUUUAGGAUCUUUAUAUCUCAUGUACUCUGC
RNAcentral lists this long non-coding RNA (3332 nucleotides) under Coffea arabica (coffee). RNAcentral's name for it is "long non-coding RNA (CARA_LNC003980)". The record is from RNAcentral. Lineage: Eukaryota; Viridiplantae; Streptophyta; Magnoliopsida; Gentianales; Rubiaceae.